Molecule: ribosomal RNA, 846 nt
Filed under: uncultured archaeon
Lineage: Archaea
Description: bacterial SSU rRNA
Rfam family: Archaeal small subunit ribosomal RNA
Source: RNAcentral
GCAGCCCGAGUGGUGAUCACUAUUAUUGGGUCUAAAGGGUCCGUAGCCGGUUUAAUCAGUCUUCUGGGAAAUCUAAUCGCUUAACUAUUAGGCUUCCAGGGGAUACUGUUAGACUUGGGACCGGGAGAGGUAAGAGGUACUGCAGGGGUAGGAGUGAAAUCUUGUAAUCCCUGUGAGACCACCAGUGGCGAAGGCGUCUUACCAGAACGGGUCCGACGGUGAGGGACGAAAGCUGGGGGCACGAACCGGAUUAGAUACCCGGGUAGUCCCAGCUGUAAACGAUGCUCGUUAGGUGUCAGGAACGGUGCGACUGUUUCUGGUGCCGGAGGGAAGCCGUGAAACGAGCCACCUGGGAAGUACGGCCGCAAGGCUGAAACUUAAAGGAAUUGGCGGGGGAGCACUACAACGGGUGGAGCCUGCGGUUUAAUUGGACUCAACGCCGGAAAACUCACCGGGGGCGACAGCAAUAUGUAGGUCAGGUUAAAGGUCUUACCUGAAUCGCUGAGAGGAGGUGCAUGGCCGUCGUCAGUUCGUACUGUGAAGCAUCCUGUUAAGUCAGGCAACGAGCAAGACCCGUGCCCACUGUUACCAGCAUAUCCUUUAUGGAUGAUGGGGACUCUGUGGGGACCGCUGCUGCUAAAGCAGAGGAAGGUGCGGGCUACGGUAGGUCAGUAUGCCCCGAAUCUCCCGGGCUACACGCGGGCUACAAUGGUUGGGACAAUGGGUAUCUACUCCGAAAGGAGUUGGCAAUCUCUUAAACCCAAUCGUAGUUCGAAUUGAGGGCUGUAACUCGCCCUCAUGAAGCUGGAAUCCGUAGUAAUCGCGUUUCAACAUAGCGCGGUGAAU